RNAcentral lists this ribosomal RNA (468 nucleotides) under uncultured bacterium. RNAcentral's name for it is "partial 16S ribosomal RNA". It matches the Rfam family "Bacterial small subunit ribosomal RNA", at positions 28 to 507 of the family's 1533-position model. The record is from RNAcentral.
GACGAACGCUGGCGGCGUGCUUAACACAUGCAAGUCGAACGGAAAGACCCUGCUUUUGUGGGGUGCUCGAGUGGCGAACGGGUGAGUAACACGUGAGUAACCUGCCCUUGACUUUGGGAUAACUUCAGGAAACUGGGGCUAAUACCGGAUAGGAGCUCCUGCUGCAUGGUGGGGGUUGGAAAGUUUCGGCGGUUGGGGAUGGACUCGCGGCUUAUCAGCUUGUUGGUGGGGUAGUGGCUUACCAAGGCUUUGACGGGUAGCCGGCCUGAGAGGGUGACCGGCCACAUUGGGACGGAGAUACGGCCCAGACUCCUACGGGAGGCAGCAGUGGGGAAUAUUGCAUAAUAGGCGGAAGCCUGAUGCAGCAACGCCGCGUGCGGGAUGACGGCCUUCGGGUUGUAAACCGCUUUCGCCUGUGACGAAGCGUGAGUGACGGUAAUGGGUAAAGAAGCACCGGCUAACUACGUG